This 369-nucleotide ribosomal RNA is filed under the name uncultured soil bacterium. RNAcentral describes it as "bacterial SSU rRNA". It matches the Rfam family "Bacterial small subunit ribosomal RNA", at positions 26 to 424 of the family's 1533-position model. The record is from RNAcentral.
AGAACGAACGCUGGCGGCAUGCCUAACACAUGCAAGUCGAACGAGACCUUCGGGUCUAGUGGCGCACGGGUGCGUAACGCGUGGGAAUCUACCCUUGGGUUCGGAAUAACAGUUGGAAACGACUGCUAAUACCGGAUGAUGACGUAAGUCCAAAGAUUUAUCGCCCAGGGAUGAGCCCGCGUAGGAUUAGCUAGUUGGUGAGGUAAAGGCUCACCAAGGCGACGAUCCUUAGCUGGUCUGAGAGGAUGAUCAGCCACACUGGGACUGAGACACGGCCCAGACUCCUACGGGAGGUAGCAGUGGGGAAUAUUGGACAAUGGGCGAAAGCCUGAUCCAGCAAUGCCGCGUGAGUGAUGAAGGCUUAGGGUU